UCUGUAGUUCAACGGAUAGAACGUCGGUUUCCUAAACCGUAGAUAAGGGUUCGAUUCCCUUCGG
This 64-nucleotide transfer RNA is filed under the name uncultured Porphyromonas sp. It matches the Rfam family "tRNA", at positions 5 to 66 of the family's 71-position model. Rfam says of the family: Transfer RNA (tRNA) molecules are approximately 80 nucleotides in length. Their secondary structure includes four short double-helical elements and three loops (D, anti-codon, and T loops). Lineage: Bacteria; Pseudomonadati; Bacteroidota; Bacteroidia; Bacteroidales; Porphyromonadaceae. The record is from RNAcentral.